GACCUAAAAUUUAGUUUUCUCAUUUAUAAAAUUUGUUAAUUCAUCUAUGCAUACAUACUUGUUGAGCAUGAACUGACAUACAUAGCAUAAAUGCUCACAAAUAUGAUUGUGGCAGGGAAAGCUGAUGCUCACCAAAUCCAUGUUCUCCCUCUCUUCUAGGCUCAGAGCUAGACUACAUUUCCCAACUUCCCUUGCAGUAAGUGUGGUCAUGUACUAGUUCAGCCAAUAGAAUUUGAGUAGAGAGGAGGUUCAUAAACCCCACGUGUGAUCUUCCACUUUCUUUCUCUCUGCUGGAUUAGAAUGAAGAUGGCCCAGGGUGACCAUGGAAACCCUGUGUUGGAGAUGGCAGCUCUGCUGUCAGCCUGAGCCUCUGAAGGACUGUGGAGGAGGACAUGCUAGUGGUUUGUUUACCUGCCCAGUACUAUCAUGCCAUGGGAUUUCACUCCUGACUGAUGGUAGAUGUGGACAGAUGACUUGCAUCUAUUAAAAAUGAUGUGUGGAGAAACUUUAAAAUGAGCCGUUUAUUGACUUAUUCAUGGCUAGAGGAAAUCUCAGCUAUGUAUCACAGUUUGGAAAUCAAGUGUCAAAAGUUACUGGAUUUAGAAUCUCACUAAGUUGCUCAAAGUGUCACUAAAUUGCUGAGGCUGGCCUUGAACUAAUAGUCAUCCUGCCUCUGGCUCCUGAGUUUCUAGGAUUACAGUUAUCAUUCACUAAAGACAUACAACAAAGUAGGGACUAUGUUAGGCCUCCAAGAUAUUAAAAGUUGACAAUGAUGCAUAAAUUCCUACCCUUAGGGAGUUUAGGUUCUAGUGGGGGAAAGUUUCUCACAUAAAGGCAACAAUUUACAGAUUCUUCUGAACUGUGUAAAAGAGAAAGAAAAAAGAAAGAAGAGAGAAAGAAAAGAAGGAAAGAUGGAAAGAAGGAGAGAGAGAAGAGAAGAGAGCUGCAUUUUUGGGCUACUAUAUUGUUUUUAAAAAUACCAAAAAAUACCCCCCCCCAAUGUCCCACCAGUAUUCUAGGAAGGAUAUGUCUCCAAGAUUAACAAAAACAAUUAUUCUCUCAAGUUAUCCAUGGGAAGUGGAGCUUCAUAGCAAUAACAAUGCUGCUCUUAACAAUGGUAAUUGUCUUAAACACUAUUAAUAGUGUUGCCUUUAACAGCACAGAAAUAGUGCAGCAGAGGUGGCUGUGACCAGAAGUACCUCAUCUCUAGAUCUAAUAUAAAAGGUGAACACACCAGUAUUUCCUGUGCUGCAAGAAUGUCUAGAAAUAAUCCAUUUUUGCAAUACAAAAAUAUUUUGAGAGCUUAGGUAGUCUCCUUUUAAGUAUUUUUAAAAAUACACAUGGAAACCUCAAUCUCUCUUUUUACAUUCAUAAUGAUUUUAAAAAUAUUACUAGCAAAAGAUCCCUCCAUCUAAAUUGCACAUAUGUGAGAAAUAGCUCUCUUGAGCAUUAGCUCAUUGGCAGCCUCCACAUCCAGGGAGAAGUUGGAGGUGUUUACUCUCCCCACAUCCCUCCCUACCUUACUGGCAUCAAAUGGGUGGAGUCCAGAGACACUGCUAAACAUCCUGCAAUGCCCCCAAACAGGACCCACCACAAAGAAACACCCAGCCCCAAAUGUCUUCUGAGAUGGAGAAAUCCUGCUCUAGAGAAAAAAAAAAAAAAAAAAAAACAGCUGAAGAAAAGACUGAACAACGAGGAAAAGGGGUGUCAGAAGGCUUUGUCCCCACAACCAGUGAGGACAUCCUGAGUGCUGGGUCUGGAAUGCAGAAAGGGAGCAAGAGGCAACCGAUAACAGAUGCUGGGAUUUAGCCACCCCCUUCCUUUCUAUGCCUGCACCAAUUCCCUAGGGGCCCAGGGUCAGAAGCUUUGAUUGGGCUCAUCGUUCCAAGUUGACAGCUGCACGUUUGUUCUUGUCUGAGUCUCUUGCUGCUUCUCAACCUGGCCUCCCGAAGAUGGACUCAUCCAAAGCCUGACAUGGAGACUGAAACUUAGGGUAUUCAUCUCUGUCAUCAUCUACAUUCACUUAUUUAUUGGGUGCUGACUACAGGCUCCAAGAAACAGUCGGACCACUGAAAGCUAUGCAGCUAGCUCCAUCUGAAUAGGCCUGCUCCAAUUUUCCAACUCAGGACUAUUUUUUCUCACCUGUCCCUGUCUUCUCUGUUACUCAAAUUCUUUUGGGGGUGAAAAAAUGGAAACACAAAGUAGGUAAAACCAAAUAUGAUUUAGGUUGAAAAGCAAUCAAUUGAAAAUUCCUGUAUGCAGAACCAUUGUCUUAUUUAAAUAUAUUUACUUUUUACAUUUUAAAAAUUGCUCAUCAAAGUUUAUUCUACCACUCCAGGUGAAAGAAUCACAAGAAGACUAAAAAUAUUUUUAAUUGACACAUAGUAAUGUAUAUAUUUAUGGAGUGCAUGGUGACAUUUCAAAACAUGUAUAUUAUGUGUGAUGAUCAGAUCAGGGCAAUCAGCAUAUCUGUCACCUCAGAUGUUUCUCAUUUCUUUCUGUUGGGAACAUGGAAAAUCCUACUAGCAAUUUUGAAAUAUUAAGUGAGUUGUGGCGACCCAUAGUAGUUCUGCUAUGCUAGAGAAUACUAGGAAUUUUUCUUCUUAUCCAAGUGCACCCUUGAAUCAUUAACCAUCCUCUCUCCAUCCUCCCGCCCAGGCUCUGGUAACUAUUAUUUUGUUCUCUACUUCCACAACUUUUUAGCUUCCACAUAUGAGUGAGAAAACGUAGUGUUUAUCUUUGUAUGUCUGACUUAUUUCACUUAACAUAAUGUCAUUCAGUUUUAUCCAUGUUGCUGCAAAUGACAGAAUUUUUUAAUGGCUGAAUAAUAUUUCAUUGUGUAUGCAUACCACAUUUUCUUGCCCAUUUAUUCACACAUCUGUAAAUGUUAAAAUGUGAUGACUUUCUUGAUUUCUUUCUUAGCAAUUUUGUUGUUGGUAGAUAAAAAAGCUACUAAUUUGGUAUGUUGAUUUUGUAUCUGCCCACUUUAUUUAAUUUGUUGAUCAGUCCUAAGAGUUUUUCAAUGGCAUUUUUCCCAUGAAUAAAAUCAUGUCAUCUUCAAAUAGGAAUAAUUUGAAUUCCUCCUUUCCUAUUUGGAUGUCCUUUAUUUCUUUCUCUCCCUUUAUUACUCUGGCUAAAUGUUUCAAUACUAUAUUGAAUAAGAGUGAUGAAAGUAGGCUUCCUUCUGGCAAUAUAUGCAUAUCCAUGUUUAUAGCAGCACAAUUCAUAAUACCCAGGCUAUGGAACCAGCCCAGGUGCUUGUCAACAGAUGAAUAAAUAAAGAAAAUGUGGUAUAUAUACAUAAUUGUGUUUUACUCAGCCAUAAAGAAGAAUGAAAUAUAUCAUUUGGAGGAAAAUGGAUGGAACUGGAGACAUAAUUUUGAGCAAGAUAAAUGAGACUCAAGAAACAUAUUGUUAUGUUUUCCCUCAUAUGUGGAAGACAAAGGGGAAAAAGACAUAUCAUAAAAGUAGAAAGGUGACUAUAGUAUAGAGGAAGGGGGUAAUGGGGAGGAAGGAGGGAAGGAUGGGGGCAAAAUUGAUCAAGUUGUAUUUCUAUAUAUGUGGGAAUAUGUCACAAUGAAAACCCUCAUUCUGUAUAAUUGAGAUGAACUAAUGAAAACAAUAAUUUUUAAGUGUUUAAAGAUGAAAUAUAAUAAAAAUUAGUCAAACUAUUAAAAAA
Molecule: non-coding RNA, 3679 nt
Organism: Ictidomys tridecemlineatus (thirteen-lined ground squirrel)
Lineage: Eukaryota; Metazoa; Chordata; Mammalia; Rodentia; Sciuridae
Source: RefSeq, a predicted model, not a curated record